This 274-nucleotide ribosomal RNA is filed under the name uncultured bacterium. Its description in RNAcentral is "partial 16S ribosomal RNA". It matches the Rfam family "Bacterial small subunit ribosomal RNA", at positions 523 to 796 of the family's 1533-position model. The record is from RNAcentral.
AUACGGAGGGAGCAAGCGUUAUUCGGAAUCACUGGGCGUAAAGGACGCGUAGGCGGGUUUGUAAGUCAGGUGUGAAAUCCUACAGCUCAACUGUAGAACUGCACUUGAAACUACAGACCUAGAGUAUGGGAGGGGCAGAUGGAAUUAGUGGUGUAGGGGUAAAAUCCGUAGAUAUCACUAAGAAUACCGAAAGCGAAGGCGAUCUGCUGGGACAUUACUGACGCUGAGGCGUGAAAGCGUGGGGAGCAAACAGGAUUAGAAACCCUAGUAGUCC